RNAcentral lists this ribosomal RNA (406 nucleotides) under uncultured bacterium. RNAcentral's name for it is "partial 16S ribosomal RNA". It matches the Rfam family "Bacterial small subunit ribosomal RNA", at positions 30 to 526 of the family's 1533-position model. The record is from RNAcentral.
AUUGAACGCUGGCGGCAGGCCUAACACCUGCAAGUCGAACGAGUGGCGGACGGGUGAGUAAUGUCUGUGAAACUGCCCGAUGGAGGGGGAUACCUACUGGAAACGGUAGCUAAUACCGCAUACCAUCGGAUGUGCCCAUAUGGGAUUAGCUAGUAGGUGGGGUAACGGCUCACCUAGGCGACGAUCCCUCGCUGGUCUGAGAGGAUGACCAGCCACACUGGAACUGAGACACGGUCCAGACUCGUACGGGAGGCAGCAGUGGGGAAUAUUGCACAAUGGGCGCAAGCCUGAUGCAGCCAUGCCGCGUGUAUGAAGAAGGCCUUCGGGUUGUAAAGUACUUUCAGCGAGGAGGCGUUACUCGCAGAAGAAGCACCGGCGAACUCCGUGCCAGCCGCCGCGGUAAUAC